GACGAACGCUGGCGGCGUGCUUAACACAUGCAAGUCGAACGGAAAGACCCUGCUUGUGUGGGGUGCUCGAGUGGCGAACGGGUGAGUAACACGUGAGUAACCUGCCCUUGACUUUGGGAUAACUUCAGGAAACUGGGGCUACUACCGUAUAGGAGAUCCUGCUGCGUGGUGGGGAGUGGAAAGUCUCGGCGGGUGGGGAUGGACUCGCGGCUUAUCGGCUUGUUGGUGGGGUAGUGGCUUACCAAGGCUUUGACUGGUACGCGGCCUGGGAGCGUGGACGGCCACCAUGGUCCUGCGAGACGGACCAGUCUGCUACGGGGGGCAGCGGUGGGGAAUCUUGCCCAAUGGGCCGACGUCUGUGGCGGAAACGUCGCGUGCGGGAUGCCGGCCUUUGGGGUGUAAACCGCUUUCGGCUGUGACGCAGCUUGAGUGACGGUAACGGGUAAAGAAGCACCGGCUAACUACGUG
This 468-nucleotide ribosomal RNA is filed under the name uncultured bacterium. RNAcentral describes it as "partial 16S ribosomal RNA". It matches the Rfam family "Bacterial small subunit ribosomal RNA", at positions 28 to 507 of the family's 1533-position model. The record is from RNAcentral.